GCGAGCGUGGCGGAAUGGCAGACGCGCUAGGUUCAGGACCUAGUGGGUGCAAGCCCGUGGAGGUUCAACUCCUCUCGCUCGCACCA
Molecule: transfer RNA, 86 nt
Filed under: Bacillota bacterium
Lineage: Bacteria; Bacillati; Bacillota
Also listed under: 1 other name
Description: Firmicutes bacterium (anaerobic digester metagenome) tRNA-Leu
Rfam family: tRNA
About the family: Transfer RNA (tRNA) molecules are approximately 80 nucleotides in length. Their secondary structure includes four short double-helical elements and three loops (D, anti-codon, and T loops). Further hydrogen bonds mediate the characteristic L-shaped molecular structure. tRNAs have two regions of fundamental functional importance: the anti-codon, which is responsible for specific mRNA codon recognition, and the 3' end, to which the tRNAs corresponding amino acid is attached (by aminoacyl-tRNA synthetases). tRNAs cope with the degeneracy of the genetic code in two manners: having more than one tRNA (with a specific anti-codon) for a particular amino acid; and 'wobble' base-pairing, i.e. permitting non-standard base-pairing at the 3rd anti-codon position.
Source: RNAcentral